UCUAGUAUAAGCAAUCUAUACGGUGAAACUGCGAAUGGCUCAUUAAAUCAGUUAUCGUUUAUUUGAUAGUACCUUACUACUUGGAUAACCGUGGUAAUUCUAGAGCUAAUACAUGCUAAAAACCUCGACUUCGGAAGGGGUGUAUUUAUUAGAUAAAAAACCAAUGCCCUUCGGGGCUCCUUGGUGAUUCAUAAUAACUUAACGAAUCGCAUGGCCUUGUGCCGGCGAUGGUUCAUUCAAAUUUCUGCCCUAUCAACUUUCGAUGGUAAGGUAUUGGCUUACCAUGGUUUCAACGGGUAACGGGGAAUUAGGGUUCUAUUCCGGAGAGGGAGCCUGAGAAACGGCUACCACAUCCAAGGAAGGCAGCAGGCGCGCAAAUUACCCAAUCCCGACACGGGGAGGUAGUGACAAUAAAUACUGAUACAGGGCUCUUUUGGGUCUUGUAAUUGGAAUGAGUACAAUUUAAAUCCCUUAACGAGGAACAAUUGGAGGGCAAGUCUGGUGCCAGCAGCCGCGGUAAUUCCAGCUCCAAUAGCGUAUAUUAAAGUUGUUGCAGUUAAAAAGCUCGUAGUUGAACCUUGGGCCUGGCUGGCCGGUCCGCCUCACCGCGUGCACUGGUCCGGCCGGGCCUUUCCUUCUGGGGAGCCGCAUGCCCUUCACUGGGUGUGUCGGGGAACCAGGACUUUUACUUUGAAAAAAUUAGAGUGUUCAAAGCAGGCCUAUGCUCGAAUACAUUAGCAUGGAAUAAUAGAAUAGGACGUGUGGUUCUAUUUUGUUGGUUUCUAGGACCGCCGUAAUGAUUAAUAGGGAUAGUCGGGGGCAUCAGUAUUCAAUUGUCAGAGGUGAAAUUCUUGGAUUUAUUGAAGACUAACUACUGCGAAAGCAUUUGCCAAGGAUGUUUUCAUUAAUCAGUGAACGAAAGUUAGGGGAUCGAAGACGAUCAGAUACCGUCGUAGUCUUAACCAUAAACUAUGCCGAC
Molecule: ribosomal RNA, 979 nt
Filed under: Leotiomycetes sp.
Lineage: Eukaryota; Fungi; Ascomycota; Leotiomycetes
Description: SSU rRNA
Rfam family: Eukaryotic small subunit ribosomal RNA
Source: RNAcentral